Pelobates cultripes (western spadefoot toad) is the source of this 237-nucleotide non-coding RNA. The record is from the annotation of a GenBank genome assembly. Lineage: Eukaryota; Metazoa; Chordata; Amphibia; Anura; Pelobatidae.
GUGCCCUGGCCGGUCUCAGUUCGUGAGGUUCCUGUGCAAACACCAUGCAAGGGAAUCUAUCAUUUCAGGAUACGAAUGCUCCCCCUGUUCAGUAGUUCAAAUCUCCCGAACGUCGUUUGUCUAGGUGGUUGGGAAAUAAAACGGGCAGUGGUCUAACCAUUACCGGGGUUCAUGCUAGUGCCUAGGCGAAAAGGGUUCCAGGCACUCGACGACCAAGUACCGCUGCUCACGUUUGGG